Molecule: long non-coding RNA, 2528 nt
Organism: Trifolium pratense (red clover)
Lineage: Eukaryota; Viridiplantae; Streptophyta; Magnoliopsida; Fabales; Fabaceae
Exons: 9
Source: RefSeq, a predicted model, not a curated record
UGCUUUUCUUUCUCAAAUACACAAAAAGAAGUGACAAAAAAUACAGAAAAAGAAGAAAACAACUCUAAUCCUCCAACAAUGGGUAAACGGAAUUGAAUUCGUCAGAAUGGGUGAACCAAAUUCGUCUCAACAACCGUAAUCCUCCGAAUUCGUCCCCGUCGAAGAACAAUCCGCUGUGGAAGAAGAAAACCCUUCCAUCAACCCUAAUCUGUGAAGAACAACCUCAAUCACUCCGCCGUUAUUAUCCAUCGUUCUCGUGGUUACAAGUUUUUGCGUACUAUUGCUGUUCUUUUGUGUUUGUGGUGCCUUUCUAAUGUUAAGUAUUUUGGUGUUGUAUUAUUGUGUGAUAAGUGUGUUAUUGUGUGUCUGUGUGGGUUUAUUGAAUACUGGGUUCACCAUAACAAUGAUGAUAAUAAUAAGAUAAGCAUCAACAGUAAGACUCUAGAUGAAAAUCAAACUUUCUGCUCAUGUUCAAUUUGAGCAACCAUAAUUAAGUCCAUUUAAUUUAUACUGACUCUAGAUGAAAGUUUACCUGCACUAAUACAAUAUUUAUCUCUUAUCUUAAUUUUGCAUCAUAUGGUUAACGUCUCUUGUUCAACACAGGGAUGGAUCGGAUGAUGGUGGUAAUUAUCUUUGCAUUUUUCUUUACCGAUGCUAUGAUAUCUAUUCCUAACCAGGGUAUGAUAAAUUCUAUUAAGAAGUAAAAUUUGCUACUUACUACUGUUGAAAGAAUCAUGUCGCUGUUGGUUUGAGAUAUGAGAUUUUGAUAGGAGGUUCUAGGUUUUUUCACAUGAGAUUUUGAUAAGAAGAAUCAUAAUCUUAGUUUUGGACCUCUUUAUCUUAGCAAUACUAUACUAAUUGAUUAUUCAUUGAAUCCUUUAAACCUCUUUAUCUCAGUAUAAUCUUACUUAACAUAACAUAUUAGCAUAUAAUUUUGAAAUCAUGGACACAAAAAAGUCAACAUAUAACAAGCUUGUUAAGUUGUUAGCUUAAUGGUAAAAUUGGUUGUAUUGUAAUCCCUCUUGUUUAAGUUCUAUCUGUUCACUUUUUGUUUGAAUUGCAUUUGUUCCAAGACCUUGGCAAAAGUUGUAAAUUUCUUUCAUAGAUCUCUUGUCAAGCUGGGAAAAUAUGAAUACAUAUUUGCAUCGGUCGUUUAUCAUAUACUCCUAUGUUUCUUCUUUUGAUUUUGAUUUGUCAAUUGUCUAUCUUUGUGCCGGUGAUCACAUGCUUAAUUUACUCUAUUUCAUAUACCUCUAUCUUAGCAACCAUACUUAAGUCCAUUCAAUUUGUUAGGAGAGCCAAAAGAUGAUUCUUUAAGACUUAAAAUUGAUUUUGAUGUGUUUAGUGUUUCUAAUAGUGAUUAGAAUUGAUUCUACAUGUGAUUUUGUCUCUAAAUGUGAUUUUUACACUUAAAUUUAUUCACUUUCAUGUGAAUGUAUCUUAAUAGGGUUCUAGCUAUUGCUAUUGCGUGACCUAAUUUGACUUUCUUAUUUGUUCGGAUUUCACGCUUUCAGUUUCGAUUUGUUCCGUAUUGCACGCUUUCAGGUUCGAUUUGUUCGGAUUUCACCUCUUUCAGUUUCGAUUUGUUCCUUUCUGAUUUUUCCUAUUUUGACUUCUUUUGCUCUAAUUUUACUUCUUUUGUUAGGUUUCAGUUUGAUUCCUUUGCAUAUGUUAAAAGGCUAUAGUGGAAGCAGCUGAUACUGAAUUCAUCAUACUUGGCCAGCGAAUUUAUUAAAUUACUUGGCCUUAAGGACUUUAUCUUGAGGAGAUCAUUAAGUGGUAACAGAAACAAUCAGUUGCAUUGGCUACUCAGCACACUACAAGUAAAUUGUAGCAACUGGCAUGGUUGGUAAUGACCUUCUCAAUUUGAGCAUGAGAAAAUGAGUUCUGAGACUGUAGCUGGCAUAUUUGGUUAAGGGAGUUCAAAGAAGCUACCAAGGUUGGUGUACUUUGGACCUUAAACACAGAGAGGUUGCUCGGUACAAGUCUGUUGUGCAGGUUGUUGGCACUGUGCAGGGACAUAAUAUAUCUGGAAAGGAUCAGCGUGUUCAUUGCUCCAUAAAUAUCAACACAGAGACUGGACGCUUGUCAGCAAGAAGACCAAGUUUGCAGAAUCAACCAGCUUUGGAAAAAGACCGAUACAAAAUCCGUCAAGCAUUCAUUGCUGCUCCUGGAAAUUCUCUUAUAGUUGCUGAUUAUGGACAGGUAUUUAUAAAAACCGACGUGGAAUCCCCAUAAUUUUAAAUAAUAAUUACAGAAGAAAUUAGGAUACCACGACGGGUAUAAAAAGACCCGACGUGGAAAGUGUGUACUUACAACGUCGACCACGUUUACUACUGGCCGCGGCCAGUAGUGGAAAGUCUGUUUGGCCAGUAGUUGUAUCUCCUUUCUGCACUAGUGUUUGUGGGAUAUUUUGGUGGAUUAUUUAUUAGUGGAUUAUAUUUUCAUGGAUGUAGACCUUUUUUGUUGACAUUAUAUAUGGUUAUAUGGUAUAAAUAGAAGGUCCAGUAAAAAACUAUUUAAUUUAU